CGUUAAGAUCACUAUACACCUUUCCAUGGAACACAUAAGCCGUUGAAUCCUCCGAGCACGAAGCGAAGAGCGGAUACGAGCGGUGAAACGCCACGUUCGUAAUGUCUUUAGGAUGAUUCUUGAGAGUCUUGUACGGUUUCGAAGACAGGUCCAUGUCAAACCAACACAUCUUCCCUUUUUUGCUUCCUACGAUCAAAUUAUCGCCACCGGGAUGAAUCGCCAUCGAUGAGAUCUUUCUGAGCCCAGUCUCGAGCUUCUUGAUGGCCAGCUCUCUCUUCUGGAGAUUGAAAACGCGCACGUUCUUUUUCGUAGCGAUGAUGAACAUGCCACGGUGGGUGGGGUGAAAGUGUGCAGACUGGAAGUCCCCGAAUCUUUAUUGGGAGCCUUUUGUAUCUAUGUUACAUGGAAGCCGAAUAGUAGAAGCGUAGUUAGGAAGCGGGUAGUAGUUAGGAAGCGGGUAGUAUUUAGUUGAUUCAUAUUUUAACUAUAAAAAAUACGAACAGAUCAAGCUUAUAAAAAUAUUAUCAAACUAAUUAUUUUUAAUAGUUCAUAAAUAUAUGUCACAGUAUAUUUGAAUACAUAUGCACUAUCUCUUAUAAAAAUUAGUAUGCACAAAGAUAAUUAUAAUAGUAGUUUUGAUAUUUUCAUAUUUUUUAUUUCCUUUAUUUUAAUACUAUUAAUUUUAAAUUUUAUAUAAUAUAAAGAUAUAAUUUUAUUUUUUAUACUUAUUCAUGAAACUGAAUUUUUAAAAUGAAAUCGUGAUUCAUAAACGAAAACAUAAGCUUCCAACGUGUUUUUAAAAAUGUAUGUUGGAAAUGUAUUGGAAGCAAGAUUCCGGAUACUUCCACGAGAUUCCGAUUUUGAAAUUCUUGACAAUCUAUCAUUGUUCGUAAACAAAUCAUGCGGAUACUAAACAUGAAUUGUGUAUCCACAUUAAUCAUUUUGGAUGCAUAGUGAUACAAAAAAUAUAAAGUUAGGAUUCGGGUGUUGAUUUGGUGUCCAAUAAUUGAUUAAUCGGUGGCACAUAAUUAAACAUUCAUUACCAACGGUUUAUCAUCUUUUAUUUGAAUGAUGUGCAUCAACCACUUGAAAUAAAAUAAAACUAGGAUAAGACAUGUGUCUUGCGCAUGGUGAAUUUAUUUGUAUAUAUUAUCGAUAAUUUUUUUUUAUAUUUGAUCAUAUUAUUUAUACAUAUACAAUGUAUUUUUGUUGUUAUUAUAUAAUUUCUUUCCGAUGGAUCGGAUUAAUUUUUAUUAAAAUUGUGGAACUAAACUAUAAUUAAUAUAUCAUGGAUUGAUCAGAUUGGACAUUAAACAAAUUUUGACACAAAAAUUUUAUUUUUUUCACCGAACACAUUCUUGAAAAAUGUGAACAAUAUUGUUUCUACAGUAGAAUUAUUUUGACAUUUAUCUUCCAUAUGGUUUUAAAAGGUUUCAAAUCAACCAUCGAAUUGAUACAUGUCAUUUUAAUGAUUUUAGUCGUAUGCUCAAGGAAACUUACAUUUUUGUAAUUUAAAAUCAUUUUAAAAAAUUCAAAAUAUAACAUAUAAGACAAAAUCUAACAUAUAAGAAAAAUAUAGCAUAUAAGGUUUCCUCAUUUUAUAAUUUAAAGUUGCCUUAAAAAAUUUAAAAUAUAAGAUAUAAGGUUUCCUUAUUUUUGUAAUUUAAAUUUAUUUUAAAAAAUCAAAAUAUAACAUAUAAUAAAAAAUCUAAUCUUUUUAUUAUAUGGUUAAUGUGAUUGUUUAAUUUUUUUAAUAAUAUAAAAUUAAACAAAAAUAAAGAAGGAUGCAAAAAUUGUUAUCAAAUCUUUAUUAUUUAUAGUCAGUAAUCGUCAUAUAUAUGUUAAUCAUAUUAGGUAAUUCUGUACAUUUUAUUUAAGGAAAGAUUACAUGUUUCUUAUAUUUUGGGUUAAUAUGUGUUCCAUAAUAAUUGGAUUUAAACCAAUAUUUUUUUCAAUUGAUUCUUAAGCUGUCAAGUAAGUUAAAUUGUCAUCUUAAUUAAACGAUAUCUUAGCAGAGCUAGUCUCUUUUUAAUUAGUACAAAUGUAAAGUUAUAAUUUUUCAAAUGAUCUUCAGUUAAUAUAUAGAUGAUGAAUGAGUUCACUGCUGAUUCAUUGAAUUCUUCCCCUGUUUUUGCAUGAGCAAAUAUAGUAAAACGGAAUUCCAUUUUUCAAUCGAACAAAAGUACGUGUCCGAAUGUUUUUCAUGAGCAAGCAUACAUAAGAGUAAUAUAUGUUUGAGAAAACAUUAUACAAAGAAUAGUGCUGUGUUCAUGAGCAUUUGCCUAACUAAAGACAUCAACCAUUUGAUCUAAUCCUUUGAACUAGAUUAAUAAAAUUAAGACUAGGAUGGAUGUGUUGGAAGUAUCUCUAAUUUUUGCCAACAGGAGAUAUACAAAUUAAUAUUAUUAAUUCAUUGUAAGCUCUAAAGAUUAAUGAUCUAUAAAAUAAUAAUUAUAAUAAAUUAAUAGAUUUAGUCUUAAGUUUGGAUUUAUCAAAAAAUAAGAUGAAAUUCUAUAUAAUUAUAAAAUAUAUGAAAAUAUAUUAUUUACUCAAUAUUAUUAAUUAUUAAUUUAUAUAGAUAAUACAUCAAAACAUCAGUAAUUUAAAGUUCAAUAUAUUAAUAAAAAUUAAAGAGACAAAAUAAAUUCACAAAGUUUAGUAAAACUAAAUUUAUGAGAAAAUGUAAUAUAUAAGACUAUAAGAUUAACAAUGUUUCAAAUAGAAUAAGUUUACAAAGUAUAAAAUUUAUUAAUUUAUAUAAUUUAAAUGGUAAGACUGAGAUUUUCUCCUUUUCGUAAUUUCAUCCGUGAAAUUGUAAAUUCAAGAUAACACUUCAAAAUAUUAUUUUUGUUGUCCAAAGAAGUGCUGGGCCUAUCUAAUGAUUUUGUUUCGUUUGCGUCUAAAUGUAGCAGACGGAUGUGCGUCAUCAAAAAACUAAUAAGAAAAAAUGUUUCAGAUUUCACUUUUACUAUGAUAGAGUAAACAACGAAUCGAUUUCAGUAAGUCUUCAUAACGAAAUUCACGCCAAGUUUUACGUUGAACAGUUUGCGAUUAUUUUCAAACCCUUCGCCUGACGUUGGGUUGAAUAAUCUUUUCUAUGAAACUUACACACUAUAUCGUUCUCGUGAGAUUGAGACUUCAACGUUGUAGAUCAGUGGAUUGUUUUCCAACGGCCAAGCAAACCACCAUUAACGUCUACGUUAACGUACAAGGUUCACCAUCAAUACGAUAAAACGAAGAUUCAGUAAGAUUCCAGUCUACCUUGAUUUAGGGGUAAACGAAGAUUCAACAAAGAAUAGUAUUGUGUGGUUCACGAGCAUUUGCUGAUAAGUUUUUUUAGGCUUCCAAUUUAAAACCAAUUGACAAUUAGUGGAUUGGCACAAGUCCCUUAUAUAUUACUCAAGUCCCUUUUAUAUUUCCGAUGUGGGAUUUUUUCUCCAAUACCCUCUCUCGAAAUAAUGGUGCGUAUAAUUAUUAAUCUCGCAGAAUCCAUCAUACCCCUUCCAAAAUUAUCUUUAUUUUCUAGCGAUCUCGGCAGAACUAAGCCUUCUAUGGACCAUCAGCUAAUGGGAUGAUCGGGCCACUGUCCGGGCCGGAUUAAUAGGUCAGGAUAUUAGGCCCGCUUUGAUACCAUGAUAAGUUUUCUGGACUUCCAACUUAAAACCAAUUGACAAUUAGUGGAUUGACCCAAGUCCCUUAUAUAUUACUCAAGUCCCUUUCAUAUUUUCGAUGUGGGAUUUUUUCUCUAAUAUUUACCUUACCAAAGGCACCAAUCAUUUGAGCUAAUCCUUUGAACUAGAUUAUUAAAGAUGAGAGUAAGAUAGAUGUCUGGGAUUUUGUGGUCGAAUGAUAAAGAAAUAGGGAUGUGCAAAACUAAAUCACAUUGCACAUUUUUUUACCAAAAAAAUAAAGAAAAAGAAAACAACUAAAUCACAUUGUUCUUGAACAUUUAUAUAUAUAUGAAAUUUUGUUUUCAGUCUAUUUUCAUACCCAAAAAGAAAGUUUAUCUUUAGACUGCACUAAACAUGUGUAUUUUACGGUACCCAAUAGAACUUGAAUCGAAAUCUGAACUGAAAUAGUAAAUAUCCAAUCAAAUUUUAUAUUGAACAAGUCUGGAUAUCCGAACUAGAUCAAAUAUAGCUGAAACUCGAAGCAUUAUCGAACAUAACCAAACUUAACUCUGAAUCCAUGAAUGCAUAGUAUGAGAUCCGAAGAUUACACCCUUUCUCCCAUUUCUUUUUCUUUUGUCAACAAAAUUAACCCUUUCUCCCGUUUAAUCUGUAAAAAUAUGGCUGAGUAUUGAAAAUAUCUCCUCUUUACUUUUUAUUCUCUUUGGUCGGGAGUGAAUCAGCUCCAAUCCAUCUCUUUGAUUUAAACUUAGUUUGAGGGAGAGACAAAUCUUUGAUAUGUAUAAUCUGGUUUUGAAAGUUUUUGUGUGUUUCGUACUCAUGAUGACAUAAAAUCACGUGUGGUCUCUUAAAAAUUUUGGUUUGUGAAAUUAAAUCAAGGAAUUUGUGAUCGCAGACACCAUGAUCUACAAAUACAACAAUUUUUUUAAAAAAAAUUAAUUACAUAGUUUGCAUUUUUUUGGUUGUGCCUGAAAUAACUGAAUCCGAAGUAAAAAUAUCUGAACCCGAUCUGAUUUGUAAAAAUAGCCAGAUGAGUACGUGCUAAGGUAUUUCAAGACCUAUAUUGAAAUACCUGAUUUGAAUCCGAAUGGAUACGAAGCAUCCCUCCCUAAAUUACAUUUCCUUUUAAAAUUAGUGUUGAGUGAACCUUUUUAUAUAUCCGGCAAAUUAAAAAAAUAAGAAAAAGAAAAAUUAAGACUACAAAGAUAUAAAAUUUAAUAUUAUUAAUGUAUUAUAAACUCUAAAUAAUAAUAGUAAAUUGAUAUUUUAGUCUUAAGUUGAAUUUAUCGAUAAUAAAUCAUAAAUUAUAUGAAAAUAUAUUAUUUAUUUAAAAUUAUCAGUUAUUAAUUUAUAUCCAUAAAACAUCAAAACACCAGUCAUUCAAAGUUCAAUAUAUUGAUAAAAAGAAAAAUGAAAACAAAUUUUAGUAAGAAUAAAAUUAUAAAAACUAAUUAAUACAUAACCAUAAGAUUAACAUUGUUUUAAAUAAAAUAUUUUUAACAAAAAAUAAAUUAUAAAUUAAUUUAAAUAAUAAUAACUCUAAAAUUCAUAAAAUAUUUUAGUCCAAAUUUAAAUUUAUAUGAUUUAAGUUUCAUGAAUUUAAUUUUCUCUCUGUCCUGCUCACAUCCGUGAAAAUGUAAUUUUAAGAUUACACCUCAAAAAUAUUAUUUUGGUUGUCUAAAGAAAUACAUGGGUUUAUCAAGAUGGUUCACAAAGUCUUAAUUGAGUCUAUAUGUAGAUGACAAAAAAAACAUCACAUAAUAAUAAGAUUUUUACUUUUACUAAUGAUAAUGUAUAUAAUGUUCAGAUUUUCACUUCAGGCUCGGCCGAAGUUCGAGGGGUUAGUUCCAGUCUAGAUGGUGAGGCUCAGGCUUUUAUGUACGCACUACAUAACAUUUGGACUAAGGGACGGAGGUAUUUUUGGUUCGAAGGGGCUAAUCUUGAACUCACCAAUAUUAUCAAUACUCAUGAACAAGGGUAAUGUAUUAUCUGACAUUAUAUAUUGGAUCGGAAUGUUGCCGGAGUGUUCUCUUGAACAGGUGAUGAAUAGAGAAAGAAAUCAAGCGGCUGACGUAAUUGCUAAGAAGGAAAAAAAAUAUUUUUUGCUAAGAAGGCUCUUGUUGGCAUAAACCUGUACUCUGAGUUUCAUAACUGUUUGGUUAAUUGAUUAUAUGUAUCACCCCUUUACAAUAUAAUUUUAUAAAGUUACUGUUGUUAAAAAAAGAGAGUAAACAAUAAUGGAUCAAUUUCAGUAAGCCGUCAUAACGAAAAUCACGCCAAGUUUUACGUUCAAUAAUCACGUCUAUGUAUCACCCCUUUACAAUAUCAUAUAUUGUUUUCAAUCGUGAGAUUAAUUAAGAUUUCAACGGUGUAGAUCAGUUGAUUGGCCUCCAACGGCCAAGCAAACCACCAUUAACGUACAAGUUUCCUCAUCGAUACGAUAAAACGAAGAUCCAAUAUAAUUCCAGUUCACCUUGUUUUAGGGGUAAAGAAGAAAUAGUUACAUAGUACGACAGCCAAAAUUUCGACCACAUGUAACUUUGGGCCUAAGCGGUAACCGUCACCCAGGACCCAGUUCGAAGUAAAACAAAAACAAAAGACUUCACGUAGUGUCCUAUAAGUUGGGCUACUAGAGACUAAUAUAUGACACCGUGGCUUAAAACUGUUGGUACGUAGUAGAGUCCUUCACGGGUUUCGAUCAAAAUGAUAAGUCUAUAAGAGCAAGAGCAUUAGAGGUUUAAGAGGGAGGUUCACACGUUUUACGAGAAAAAAAAUAUUAAAAAAAGUAAAAGUGAUGAACUCGCCCCUUCUCACCUCUUCUGCAAGAUACCCUCUCUCCUAAAAUUCAUCACUGUAGCGCGGGCUCCACGACACAUGCGGUCAAUUUUUUUUUUUUUUCAAAAAAAAAAAAAAUCAAAAUGAAAAAAAUAAAAAAUUUAAUAAUAAAAAAUUAAGAAGAUGAAUCCCAAAGAGGGUUCAUUGAUGCUCAUGCUCUAAGUAACACUAAGUAGUAACUCAAUAGUUACUUAUUAUUACAAUGGCAAUUCUUGUCUUAGAGCGAUGUUACAUUAUCAUGAACUUACUCUUUGUUCUAUUGAACUCUGCUCAUUGCUUUAACCCAAAAAGACUCAAUGUUUCGGCAGAAGCGGGGGGUUCCGAUUGGUCUCAAGCCGGAGCUACAUUCUAUGGCCUCCCCACUGGCUACGGAACCGAUGGUAAAUAUAUGCAUAGAUGUAUUAUUUAACCUAAUUAAUGCACACUAUAUCUCUACAUAAUCAAGUUAUUUUGCUCUCUAUGUAUAACGCUAACUCGAAUAUAAAAUAAUGAAGGUGGAGCGUGUGGUUAUAAAAAUGCUGUGGCACAAGCUCCGUUUUCGUCCAUGGUAUCAGCCGGAGGUCCGUCUUUGUAUAAAUCAGGGAGAGGAUGUGGUGCAUGUUAUCAGGUUCUGCAUGAUCAAAAUAAUUACAAUUAAGCAGAAGCGCUUAAUACAUUUAAAAUUUAUCAAAGUUUAAAAGGUUAAAAAAAAUUAUACGUUUGGUUAAUAUAAUGCACAGAUAAAAUGCACUUCGAACCAGGCGUGUUCGACGAAUCCGGUUACGGUAGUGAUUACAGACGAAUGUGGACAAGGAUGCCUCACAGAGUCGGUUCAUUUCGAUUUGAGCGGUACAGCGUUUGGUGCGAUGGCCGUUCCCGGUCAAGAUAGUCAGCUUCGAAACGCAGGAGUUUUGCAGAUUCUUUAUAGAAAGUAUAUAUGUCAUAUUAGAUCAUAACUACAACAAUAUACUGUAUAUGGUUAUGUGCUAAUGUUUGGUUUAUUAAUUUUGCUCUAAUUAGUAUACUUUCAUUAUUUGUUUUAGAGUUGAGUGCAACUACAUUGGCAAAACGGUGGUGUUUCAAGUGGAAGAAGGUUCAAAUGCCUACUACUUCGCGGCUUUGGCUGAGUAUGUAAACGGAGACGGCGAAAUAGGCCUAGUUGAACUCAAACAAGCGUUAGCUUCUGACACAUGGCUUCCGAUGAGCCACUCACCGAGUGCGGUGUGGAAGCUUGAAGAUACAUCACCUUUGCGAGCUCCACUGUCUCUUCGGUUGACUUAUCUAGACUCUGGCGAGACCGUUGUGGCUUCUGAUGUUAUACCGGCCGGUUGGCAGCCCGGUGCAAAGUACGAAUCGAACGUAAACUUUCAAGUCUAGCCAGAUAUAAAUACGCAUGCAGCUAUGUUGGUUUUUAAAUAAUUAUAUGUAUACGCCCCCUAGGGCGAAAUAAAAAUUUGUGUUAAAUUUCAUAUGGUGUAUUGGUAUAACGAUAAUUAGUCACUUGUAUGAUAACAUAAUCAAUGUAAAAUCAAGUGGCUGAAGUAAUUGCUAAGAAGGCGAAGGCUCUUGUUGGCCUAAACCUGUACUCUGAGUUUCAUAACUUUUUGUAUAAGGCCGGACAGUCCAUGGCUAAUGGGCCCGUUCUCUUGGUCUGGUCUGUGGGCUCCAUUCCAUCUGACGGGCAGUGCAUUAGUUUUUCGAAAUCUCGAAAUUAUUAUUUACUGACCCUGCAAUCACCACUAGAUCUUUUUCCAUGUUUUGGCUUGAUUUGUACGGUGUCGCAAAUCACUUUUCCAUGGGUCACCUAUCUUUUCACUAUUCUAGCCCAAACACAGUUAAAUCAACUUUGGUGAUAUAGAUAGUCAAAUCAAAUCUCUUUCCACAUAUCACAACUUGAAAUGUUACAAUUCACCUCCUCUCAAAGAACGCAACGCCUUUGUUGCACCCCAAGACAUGUUUCAAGACGCCUCUCAGAUCAGAGUUAACUAAUAUAGAUUUAUGAUUUAGAGUUAAGAGGUGAAGUUUUGAGGAUAGAGUUUCAAAAAAUUUUAGAAAAAAAAAUCUUAAAACUUUCAAAAUAAAAAUUGGCUAUUUUGAUCAUUUUUUUCUUUAAAACUAUUUUCCUGACAAAAAAAAUUAAAAAAACUACGUAAAAGAAUUGCCAUGCAUUAUAUCAAAGGGGGGUUUUGUUAACUAUCUAUAAUUUGUUAAUGUUAAUUUUCACGUUCUUAAAAUAUGCUUUCCGUUUAGAGAGUUGGGAAGCUUACAUUACUUCCAUAAGUACCAAAACUGAAAUGCCAAUUUUUGGAAUAAAAUGAUGUGAAAUUCUCUAUUCCAUUUAUACCAUAAAUUGUUGUACCAUUUGUAAUGAAUGAAAUAUAAUAUUUAUUCCAUCAAUUCCAUAAAAAAUAAAAAAAUUCAAAGAAACUUAUUUCAUUCCAAUUUUAAUCAUGAAUAAAUAGAAUGAAAUAUAUUCCAUGUUUCUCUAUAUUCCAUUCCUUUUUAUCCUACUAAUUCCAUUUUACAUUUCUACAUCCUUAUAUUGCCAAGUAUGUGAUUUCUUAUACACUGAAUCCUAAGAACUACUCCCAAAAACACACAAUAAAGAGAGAUCCGGAUACCUGAAUUAUUAAAGAAAAAAAAAAAAACACACACACUAUAAAUAUCCACUAUCAUAUUAUGAAUCGAAUUCACAUCUAGCUAUUGGUAUUACAGAAAUUUCUUUAAACAACAAAGUUAGAUCAUAAAAUGGCACCAUUCCAUAGAUUCUUGGCUCUUUUAGCUCUUUUUACAGUCUCGUUUAAGUUUUGUUAUUGCCAGAAUGAAACAAUAAAUGCCGCUGGCUGGGCCGACGCAGACGCUGGUGCUACUUGGUACGGUGAACCAGAGGGAGCAGGUAGCACCGGUACGUAUUAUUAAAAUUUGAAACUACAUAUAUAUAAAUAUUUUAUCUUCAAAAAAUAUGUUUGUUUGAUAAUGUAAAUAUAUGUCAACAGGAGGAGCUUGCGGAUAUGGUGUGGCAGUGGCCAAUCCACCGCUAAACGCGAUGGUUUCAGCCGGAGGGCCUUAACUAUUCAACAAUGGAAAAGGAUGUGGAACAUGUUAUCAGGUUCGUAUUAAUAAUAUACUAAAGCAAUUUUCUUGAGCAAGCAAAAAAAACGAUCAAUUUUAUUCUUUUUUUUUUGCCAAAAUGUGAAUUUCAUAUAAAUAUGAGAAAGGUUUGUAAAGAUACAAAAGUUUAAAUCAAAGUUAAGUUAGCCUUGGCAAAAAAUAAACAAGACUAAGCUAACAUCCAAUGAGUUCGAAAAGAUUACUCAAAGCGUAUCCAAAGCUGCAUCAAAGGUUGAAAAUUCUUGAGCUUCCUUUUGCCAAGAAUAACAUCUUUGAUGAAACGAUUAAUCAACCUGAAAAUAGUAGCUGGACUCCGAGCCUCUCCAACAUGGAGCCUGGAGUUUCUCUCCAUCCAGAUAUUGGUAAUUGUUGCCUGCGCCACUAGCCUUUUUAGCGUCCUGCUGGUGACUGUAUCUCGAAGAGACACCCAUUCGGUGAAGGAGGUCCAAGUAUGGAAUGCCCUGAAAGAGUAUCCAAGUCUGUGCAGAACCAAGUUCCAGACCCCUUCACUUACUUCACAAUUUAGGAACAGAUGGGUUCUGUCCUCCACCGCUGCAUCGCAUAAACAACAAGAGGGAGAGAUGUUCAUACCCCAUUUCAGCAAUCUUGAUCUGGUGGGAAGGCGAUCUUGGUAGAUAACCCAGGCAGUAAACGCGUGUCGGGGAACAUGACCCUUGAACCAGAUGCUUUGUGUCCAUUGCUGCUCCGGUUCUCUGUUUCGAACAGCUUCCCAGGUUUUGCUGGUGGAGAAUUCUUGCAAUUCAUCACCGUUGAUGUCCCACACAUAGGUAUCGUCCAUUAGAUUCAGAGUGGGAAUGGGAACAGUGGUGAGGUAAGUCUGCAGUUCUUCAGCUAGAGGAGAGCGAGCUCCCCUGAGUAACCAUCCCCUGUCAUUACAGGCAUCUGAAACAGUCGCAGAGAUGCUUAUGGAGAGCUGUCUCGGUCCUGAUUCUCCAAAUCUGUCAAGAAGAGGUCCUAAUGGUGUCCAAUUGUCGUACCAGAAGCUUAUACAGCGCCCAUUGCCCAGUUUAGGUCGCAGGAAUCUAGAGGCCAGGCCACGCAAAGAGAGUAAAGAUCUCCAUGUAGAUGAGGUAGUCUUGUUUUCAUCCAAACUCCAAAAACUUUCAUCCUUUAGUCUAUAAUGGUGAAGCCAGCUUGCCCAUAGAGAAUCAGUCUUCUUUAAGAGGUUCCAUAUUAGCUUUAGGCAGAGGUUCUUGUUCCAGAGGCCAAUGUCUCUUAGUCCUAAUCCACCUUCCUUGCGAGGCAAACAAACAGUUUUCCAAGAUACUUUAGCAACGCAUCUCUUCGUCUCAGUACCUCCCCAUAGAAACUGAGUACAAAGACUUUCGAUCUUCUUUAUGCAACCCUUUGGAAGCACAAACGCUGAUGUCUAAAAAUUAAUGGAGCCAUAUAUGACAGAUGAUAUAAGCUGUCUCCUGCCUGCAAAGGAUAAAGCUUUUGCAGACCAGCAGUUGAAGUUCGCAGAGAUUUUAUCCAGGAGAGGCCUAUAGUCGGAGAUUCUCAGCUUUCUAUACAUUAGAGGAAGUCCCAAAUAGCGGAUUGGCAGUGAACCCAAGUUGAAACCAAGGCGAGAGAUGGCUAUGGUUUCAUCAGUGUUCAAGCCGGCUGCAAAUAGUUCUGUUUUGGACUUGUUCAUACGCAAUCCCGACCAGAGAGCGAAGUCCUCUAAUGUAUCAGCAAUGCAUUUCACGGAAUUUACAGAGCCAUCAGAGAAAAUCAUAAGAUCAUCCGCAAAGGAUAAGUGUGUAACCUAAAGAUCCUUCGUUUGCGGAUGAAAUCCAACAGACCCAUCAACAUAUUUCUUUAUCAGCAGUUGUGAAAAUACCUCCAGGGCUAGAACAAACAGAUAAGGCGACAAGGGAUCACCUUGCCUCAAUCCUCUUGUUCCUUUGAAGUAUCCACAGGACUCUCCAUUUAUAGCAACUGAGAAAUGGCUUGACGUUAAGCAUUUUCCGAUGAGCUUCCUGAAGCUAGGCGGGAAGUCAAGUGCCUCCAAGGUAAAGAGAAUGAAGUCCCAGUCAAGUGUAUCAAAAGCUUUUUGAAGGUCGAUCUUUAACAUACAACGCUUUGAUAUUUUCUUCCAGUUAUAGCCUGAGACAAGCUCUGUUGCUAGAAGCACAUUCUCCACCAAUAAUAUUCUGGGAACAAAAGCUGACUGCGAGGAGGAUAUGAGGGUUGGAAGAAGGUCCUUGAGCCUGUUCGCAAGAAGCUUUGACGCCACCUUGUAGACCGUGUUACAGCAAGAGAUUGGCCUGAACUCAGUGAUCUUAGUUGCAUUCACUUUCUUUGGCACAAGAGUGAUAAUUGUUGCGUUCCAUUGUUGUAGCAGUUCUCCUGUAGUUAGAAACUCUUGAACAGCAUCUAUCAUAUCACGACCAACAGACUUCCAGUUACCAAUGAAGAACUCAGCAGGGUAUCCGUCAGGUCCCGGAGACUUGUUCUUUGGAAGAGAUAAGAAAGCUUGCUGGAUAUCGAGGUCUGUGAACGGCGCCGAGAGUGCAUCAACAGCAGUAGGUGAGCAUUUAGUUUGCAGAACCGCGGCAAUUUCAGAUGGGGUGGAGGUAGUAAGGACGUUGACACCACCAAGGAGGCUCUGAUAGUAGUCAAUAGCGUGCUGCUUUAUUCCCUGUAGAGAUUCAAUAAUAUUUCCAUGCUCAUCAAUCAAGAGGUGAAUAUGAUUCUGAUUUUGUCUUGCCUUGAUCACCCUAUGGUAGAAAGGAGUGUUUGCAUCACCCUCAACAUUCCACUGAAUUCUCGAGCGUUGUUUGAGGAAUUUAUCUUCUGCUCUGGCCAGUGUAAGCCACUUGAGACGAGCUAUUCUUUCAGAUUCAGCAGUUGCAGGGCAUGGUGAGGAUAAGGAGGCACUCUGGCAGCUGGUGAGAUCAGAAAAAGCCUCCUCCACCCGCUUUUCAAGGUUAGAGAAGUUCUCCUUGUUGAAAGAACGGAUGAUCGGCUUCAACUCCUUAAGUUUCUUUGAGACACAAAGCUGUUUCGAGCCAUCAAAAGGAAGAGCAUUCCAGGUAGACUUGAUGAGAGCCUUAAACUCAGGAUGAUCAUUUAAGUGAGCAAAGAACCUGAAAGAACGUUUCUGAGGAGGCUUGAGUUGGUCUAAGAAAACGCAGCAUGGACUAUGGUCUGAAAUUCCCGGUUCUCCAAAUACUCCAAUCGAAUCCCAAAAUUGCUCAACCCAGUCCUCAUUACACAAGAUACGAUCCAGCUUCUUAGAGACAGAAUGAUUCGUCCAUGUGAAGUUGUGGCCACUAAACUGAAGGUCUGCUAAAGAGCUUCGCUCAAGGCAUUCACGGAAAUCUCUCAUACCUCGAGAAGAUGAGAAUUGAUCAGCAGAGGAGUGUUCAGUAGGAGAGAUAAUCUCGUUAAAGUCUCCCAAGACAAUCCAAGGAAGACCGCAAAGCUGAGAUGAAGUGGAAGCAGAUUCAAGUUCAUCCCAUAAUAGUCUUCUUUCUUUUCUGCAGUUGGAUCCAUAAACAAAAGAGACUCCUAUUUCAGUAGAAUGAAACGGGAGCUUGACAGUGCAGGUAACCAUCUGAAGUGAUUUGGCGAUGACGUUGACCUGAACUGAUGGCUUCCAAACUAGCCAAAGCUUACCGAUAUCUGAGAAUUCAUAGUUGCUCUCUAAAGACCAACCUGGUAAAAUACUUUUCAUAAUAGAAACCGCUUUCUCCUGCUGUACAUGCGUCUCAAUGAGACAUCCAAAAAAGGGGUUAUAUUUCCGAAUCCAUUUUUUGAAACCACGCCGCUUUACAGGGUCAUUAAUCCCUCUUAUAUUCCAGCAAAAAAGAUCCAUUAAGAGGGUAAAAUUUAGAGGAUUAAAGGGCCUCUAGCCCUAGCCUUUGUGUUAAAACGCUUCUGAUAUCUCUUAGAGAAUACCUCAAUGAACUGGUCUUCAUCAUCCGGAUCGUCUUCUUCACUAGACAAGGUUGUAUCCGAAGAUGAUCCAGAGCUAGACUGCUCCUUUAGAUGACUCUCAGUUGAUAAAUCCACAGAAAGGCUUCCCUUACUGAGGUCGUAUUCCACUGUUACCGUACCAUUCCUUGGGGAGACAGGAACUAUAGGCGAAGGGGGAGGAAUAACUGCAGGUUUUAGGGAAGCUGCAGGUGGAGGAUCCUUUGGGACUGAAGAAGAGACAAGUUCCGGUUGGUCCAAUGUUUUUACUCCCACCUGCUUGUAAACCAUUUCCUGCUUACCAACAAUUGGGAGAAGGCUCUUGAUAGGAGCCUUUCCCUUCUGCUUGGCCGUGUCUUUCGGGAGGUGGUUUGAUCGUGGACAAGCUGCAGUGAUAUGUCUGACAGAGUUGCAGAUUGUACAAGUAUGAGGAGCAGCCUUACAUCUCGAGAUUGUGUGCCCAAACUUUUUGCAGUAGGAGCACAGAGACGGGAGCCAAGGGCUGGUGACACCAAUCCUCCUUGUAUCACCAUUCUCAAAGCGUGCAUUCACAAAUUCGGGGAGAGGCUUACGGGGAUCAAUGACUGUAUACACCUUAGCAACUUCAAUGUUGGUAAGGUUUUCUGUAGCAGGGUGUAAGCAGACAGGAUGGCCCACAAGUCCCGCAAUCUCCUUCAGAGCGUCUUUAUUGAAAAAUUGCAAUGGGACACCAGUGAACUCCAACCAGACUGGGACCAUGUCGAGCUCAGGCUUGCAUUGCUGAAUCCCAGGUGACCAUUUUGCUACAAACAUUGUCUGGCCGUCAAUCUGCCAGAAACUUUGAGCCAGAAUUCUGCGUCGAGCAUUUGGACAAGGCACUCGAAAUAGGAACGAGUUUCCUUCCAUUUUGUUAACUGUUAUGUCGCGCUUGUGUCGGCUCCAGAUACCAUUGACAAUGGCAUGAAUGGCACCACGAGCAGGAGGUUCUUCAUAGAACUGACCCAGAAUGAAGUACUCCCAAGCUUUCUUAUUCUUCUCGACAACAGAGUUCGGAAUAGUGACGCAGGCUUCCCCUGAGUCAAGCGUAUAAGGCGUCUGCUCUGGUUGGAGUUUCACAGACGACUCCUUAACAUAACCUUUCCAAAAUUCAGCCGGGUUUUGCAAGCCAGCUGCAGGUUGAGAAGGGGGUUCACUAGAUUUUGAAGCAGCACUGAGCUGGUUCUUAUUUUCAGGUACAGAUUGGGUAUCUGUAGCUAGGGUUUCAGGAUUGGGGUUUUCAGUUUGCUUGGCCAGGUCUCGAUUAGAGGGGUUCUGGGCAGGCGGCGGAGACAUUGUCUGAGCGGCGGGGCCGGUCAGAAGCGAAUCUGUGACUUUCAAUUUGACGGCUGAAGAAGCAUCAGGCGUCGCAACUUUGACUGAACUGUUGGAGGAUUUGGUUGUUCCAGUGGGGAGACGAACCGGAGGCUUAUUUUUGGGGGGUUUCUUUCUUGCCAUGGUGGCGGGUGGGGGCCGCCGCCGAGAUCGGCGACGGUGGAGGAGGAAAGAAAGGGUUCGCGUCGUGAGAGAGAAAGGGGGGUUAGGCGCAUGGUGCGCGUGUAUUUUAACUGUUUAGGGUUUUUAUCAAUUUUAUUCUUACAAAAAGUGGUAUUGAUUAAUUUAGGGUCGUGGUGGCCAGGCUAGAUUGUGGUUUAUAAAUUAUACAUACAUUCAUGCAAGUCUGAAAGACAUAUGUAUUAUUUGUCGCAACCAUAUCGUAAAUAUAAAUGUGUUUAUUUUAGAUUAUGUGCACCGUGAAUCCAGCAUGUUCAGGGAGCCCAAUAACGGUGACGAUAACGGACGAGUGUCCAGGUGGUCCUUGCGCCUCUGAGCCAGUUCAUUUUGACCUUAGUGGCAAAGCCAUGGGAGCCUUAGCCAAACCUGGCCAAGCCGCUCAACUACGAAGCGCUGGUCCUGUAAGUGUUAGUUACAGACGGUACGUAUAUAUAAAUCAGAUUGUUCCUCUUAUAUAGUAUUGGUGCUGUUUCCUACACAAUUAUCUACUUUUUUGUACGUGAAUAAUUUUUGAUUUUUUUUUUCUUUUCUAUGUUAUGUUGUUCCAGUGCUGCGUGUUUAUAUCAAGGAACUGAAAUAGCUUUUCAUGUUGAUGCCGGUUCUACCCCGUUCUACGUGGCAUUCGUUGUGGAAUACGAAAACGGUGAAGGAGAUUUGGCGUCCGUUGAGAUUCAACCGGCCAGCGGAGGAUUUAUGCCCAUGCAAGAAAUGAGGUCCGCCGAGUGGAAGUUAAACUCCGGCGGUCCACUGAGCGGGCCGUUCAACAUUAGACUUACAUCUGGCGAGUCUCGUAAAGUAGUGGUAGCUCAGGCUGUUAUUCCGGCGGAUUGGAAGCCUGAUCAGACGUACAGGUCGAUUGUUAACUUCUAGGGUGUUCUUUUUUGUCAAAUUGUAGUUCCUAAGCUAAUAAUUGUUUAAUUAAAAAAAUAAGAAAUGCAUAUUGAGAUAUCAGUAUGAGCCCAUAUAAUUAGAACGUUAAGUUCAAGACUUUUGCCAUAGUGGUCUCUUAAAAUGACGAAGAAUGUUAUACAUGCAGAGACGUCAAACAAAUUACAGUGAAACUCUUAAUUGCAAGUUUUUUACAGUUUUAAGUUGUUUAACAAUCUCUCAUCAAGACCAUACUAGAACCUAUUAACAGAGUCAUUACGAUAAUCACAAGUGAGGAGGGCUACCAUUUUCAGUAAAUCUGAUGUGAGUUACCAAAUAAGUUGUAUUCUGUUUUUCAGUUUGAUCUCAGCAACAAAAAAGGUAAUCAAGCUAGUGCAACCAGAGAGACGCAUAGGAGGCAACUAAAAUGCAGUAGAAAUACAAAACGGUAGAGCAAUGUGAUAAUACAAAAACAAGAUGAAAAUGGUCAAAAAUAUGGUUUGGGCGAAACUUAGUGGCAGUAAAGUUUUAUAACCGAGUCGGCGCCUGCAGUGAAUAGCCAUGGUUGCCUCGGAUGAAACUUGCAGUCCAAGACUCCUGCCAUCGAACAAACCCCCCAUAAGCAUAAAAUAAUAAUCUCAUAAAGAAUAAACAAAGAGUCAGAAACACAGUAAAAAACUGACCUCUAUUUGAAGCAGUAGAAUGGCCUCUUAGAAUCUCCAACGGCACAAUCAGAGGAUUCUCGUUAAGAUCACUAUACACCUUUCCAUGGAACACAUAAGCCGUCGAAUCCUCCGAGCACGAAGCGAAGAGCGGAUACGAGCGGUGGAACGCCACGUUCGUAAUGUCUUUAGGAUGAUUCUUGAGAGUCUUGUACGGUUUCGAAGACAGGUCCAUGUCAAACCAACACAUCUUCCCUUCUUUGCUUCCUACAAUCAGAUUAUCACCACCAGGAUGAAUCGCCAUAGAAGAGAUUUCUCUCAGCCCAGUCUCGAGCUUUUUGAUGGCCAACUCUCUCUUCUGAAGAUUGAAAAC
Molecule: long non-coding RNA, 16910 nt
Filed under: Brassica rapa (field mustard)
Lineage: Eukaryota; Viridiplantae; Streptophyta; Magnoliopsida; Brassicales; Brassicaceae
Description: long non-coding RNA (BRAP_LNC003232)
Source: RNAcentral